GCGGGUGUAGCUCAAUGGUAGAGCAUUAGCUUCCCAAGCUAGUGACGAGGGUUCGAUUCCCUUCACCCGCUC
Molecule: transfer RNA, 72 nt
Filed under: Pseudobythopirellula maris
Lineage: Bacteria; Pseudomonadati; Planctomycetota; Planctomycetia; Pirellulales; Lacipirellulaceae
Description: Planctomycetes bacterium Mal64 tRNA-Gly
Rfam family: tRNA
About the family: Transfer RNA (tRNA) molecules are approximately 80 nucleotides in length.
Source: RNAcentral